CGGAUUAAAGAAAAGACUGACCAUAAAGAAGAAAAUACUGGAAAUGAGGAGGUAGAGGAUGGAACUGAGGAGACACUGUCUCAGCACAGUGAUGGCAUCGUGGAGUAUGGGCCAAAGAAGUCAAGGCCAGGACUUUCCAUGCGUAGAAAGCCACCCUACAGAUCCCAUUCGCUCUCUCCAUCUCCAGUUAACAAACACAAACAGUUCCACGUGGAGAGAAAAAGGCAGCGCAAGCCAAGAGAAACAGAUAUCCGCCAAUUCCGAGCACAGGCGUUUACUGAAGCAUUUGAAAGGGAACUAAGAAGACAUAAAGUUCAAGAGAAUAUUGGACCUCUAAGAAUACAUGAGAAGGAGGAGGAAACAGUGGGAAAAAAUAUACAGAGGAGAAGCUGUUUGUAAAGGAACUCCAGAAUGUAGUCAGCCCUGGAAGAUUUACUCUAGAAAAACCACAACUCAGAGUCUAAGAGGUGGCCUCCCAAAGCCAAAUAAAGCAGUUCCAAGUAAGAACCACAGAAUUGUACUUUAUGGAAAACUGGCAGCCUUUGAAAGCAUGUGCAACAUUC
Molecule: small RNA, 563 nt
Filed under: Pan troglodytes (chimpanzee)
Lineage: Eukaryota; Metazoa; Chordata; Mammalia; Primates; Hominidae
Description: retained intron
Source: RNAcentral